UACGUAGGGGGCAAGCGUUGUCCGGAAUUAUUGGGCGUAAAGCGCGCGCAGGCGGUUUCUUAAGUCUGAUGUGAAAGCCCCCGGCUCAACCGGGGAGGGUCAUUGGAAACUGGGGAACUUGAGUGCAGAAGAGGAAAGUGGAAUUCCAAGUGUAGCGGUGAAAUGCGUAGAGAUUUGGAGGAACACCAGUGGCGAAGGCGACGUUCUGGGCUGUAACUGACGCUGAGGCGCGAAAGCGUGGGGAGCAAACAGG
Molecule: ribosomal RNA, 253 nt
Filed under: uncultured bacterium
Lineage: Bacteria
Description: partial 16S ribosomal RNA
Rfam family: Bacterial small subunit ribosomal RNA
Source: RNAcentral